GCCGAAGUGGCGAAAUCGGUAGACGCAGGGGACUCAAAAUCCCCCGCCGCAAGGCGUGCCGGUUCGAGUCCGGCCUUCGGCACCA
This 85-nucleotide transfer RNA is filed under the name Betaproteobacteria bacterium. RNAcentral describes it as "tRNA-Leu". It matches the Rfam family "tRNA". Rfam says of the family: Transfer RNA (tRNA) molecules are approximately 80 nucleotides in length. Their secondary structure includes four short double-helical elements and three loops (D, anti-codon, and T loops). Lineage: Bacteria; Pseudomonadati; Pseudomonadota; Betaproteobacteria. RNAcentral also lists the same sequence under 6 other names. The record is from RNAcentral.